GAUGAACGCUAGCGGGAGGCCUAACACAUGCAAGCCGAGCGGUAUUGUUUCUUCGGAAAUGAGAGAGCGGCGUACGGGUGCGGAACACGUGUGCAACCUGCCUUUAUCUGGGGGAUAGCCUUUCGAAAGGAAGAUCAAUACUCCAUAAUAUAUUGAACGGCAUCGUUCAAUAUUGAAAGCUCCGGCGGAUAGAGAUGGGCACGCGCAAGAUUAGCUGGUUGGUGAGGUAACGGCUCACCAAGGCGAUGAUCUUUAGGGGGCCUGAGAGGGUGAUCCCCCACACUGGUACUGGGACACGGACCAGACUCCUACGGGAGGCAGCAGUGAGGAAUAUUGGUCAAUGGGUGCAAGCCUGAACCAGCCAUCCCGCGUGAAGGACGACUGCCCUAUGGGUUGUAAACUUCUUUUGUAUAGGGAUAAACCUACCCUCGUGAGGGUAGCUGAAGGUACUAUACGAAUAAGCACCGGCUAACUCCGUGCCAGCCGCCGCCGUAA
Molecule: ribosomal RNA, 495 nt
Filed under: uncultured bacterium
Lineage: Bacteria
Description: partial 16S ribosomal RNA
Rfam family: Bacterial small subunit ribosomal RNA
Source: RNAcentral